UCGAAACAGCUGUGCAGUUGCUAACCAAUGACAAUCGGAGGAAAUCUUUCGGAGUAUAGAUUCCCAAGCAGCCGUAUUUAUACACAACCUACACAUCAUCAAAGCAUCCCUUUUGCAAUGCCUGUCAGAACGCUUGGUUUUCCGUGAGCGUGAAGAUGCUUUGGUAUUCAAAGCCGUAUACCUGUAGGACAAGUCAUGGACUGAACAGGGUUUUGGACUCACUUGUGGAAUUUUAUGCUUGCCCGUGGCACGAUGCCUUAUCUGACUAAACCGCUGUUUUUACUCUUCUGUUUGGUCGUUACUGGGGAAUACCGUAGGCUUGGACACCGAGUACGGAGAUGGACGGAAACCGUGGAGACGGUAAAGCAUGGACCAGAGACCACAAAGCAUGGCCCUUCCUUGACAAAGAAACCUCCAGAUGUGACCAAGAAUCGCAAGCUGAAGACAGAGCAGCUUCUGAAAGUAGAUGAUCAUGAUUUCACCAUGAGGCCGGCAUUUGGAGGCCCUGCUAUCCCAGUCGGAGUGGACGUACAGGUGGAAAGCCUGGAUAGCAUCUCAGAAGUAGACAUGG
Salvelinus sp. IW2-2015 is the source of this 571-nucleotide non-coding RNA. The record is from RefSeq and is a predicted model, not a curated record. Lineage: Eukaryota; Metazoa; Chordata; Actinopteri; Salmoniformes; Salmonidae.